UUGAGUUUAUGUUCACUUACUUGUGAGGUGAGUCAAGCAAAAGCAGCACAUACCAUAUUACUUUCUGGGAUUUCUUAAAUUAUUCUGAAGGGAGACAAGGUUAAUUGGCAAAUGAAUUAGAACUCAUGCAAGAUUCUUCCAUGUAAUAUGAGCUGCUGAGCAGCUGGCACUGUAUUAUUUUUUCUACUGCUCUGUUUUGCUAAUUAUCAAAUUUUUGGAGGGAUGAUAUACUAUUGCUG
This 239-nucleotide unclassified non-coding RNA is filed under the name Hevea brasiliensis (rubber tree). The record is from RNAcentral. Lineage: Eukaryota; Viridiplantae; Streptophyta; Magnoliopsida; Malpighiales; Euphorbiaceae.